This 274-nucleotide ribosomal RNA is filed under the name uncultured bacterium. RNAcentral's name for it is "partial 16S ribosomal RNA". It matches the Rfam family "Bacterial small subunit ribosomal RNA", at positions 523 to 796 of the family's 1533-position model. The record is from RNAcentral.
AUACGGAGGGUGCGAGCGUUAAUCGGAAUUACUGGGCGUAAAGCGUGCGUAGGCGGUUUGCUAAGUCAGAUGUGAAAGCCCCGGGCUUAACCUGGGAACUGCAUUUGAUACUGGCAGACUAGAGUAUGAUAGAGGGGGGUAGAAUUCCUGGUGUAGCGGUGAAAUGCGUAGAUAUCAGGAGGAAUACCAGUGGCGAAGGCGGCCCCCUGGGUCAAUACUGACGCUGAGGUACGAAAGCGUGGGGAGCGAACAGGAUUAGAAACCCUAGUAGUCC